Molecule: long non-coding RNA, 520 nt
Organism: Onychostoma macrolepis
Lineage: Eukaryota; Metazoa; Chordata; Actinopteri; Cypriniformes; Cyprinidae
Exons: 3
Source: RefSeq, a predicted model, not a curated record
ACAGCUCUCUCUCUCUCUCUCUCUGUCAGCUUUUCCUUGCCUAUUUUUCUGAACUGUUAUUCAUAAUUAAUUUACACAUUUUUGCUCUCUUUCUUCCUUUCUCUUUUUCAUCAUGGCAUAUUUUCAAAGCUCAGAAUUGAAUUUUGAUCGGUUAUGUCAAAAAGCUGCUAAUAUUAACAGCUAAAAAGGAAGACCAAAGGAAGGCCUGUCGAACUCUUGUCUUGUCUUGUUUGUGGAGAGGGAUGAAUUUGGCCAUCUUGUGUGUUUACGGAGAAGACCAAAAGCUGCAAAGGCAAACAUUUCCAAUGGAUUUCUCACAUACUACACCAUCAGCUCUCCACAAUAUCAGCCGUUUCAAAAGCUUCCACAUCUCUGUCUCUCUCUCUGCUCUCAGUCCUUUACUACCAACUUCCAGUCUUAGCAUGUCUACGUGUAUAAAUUUUUCCUCUUCAGUCAACACUCCCAUCUCUACUGUGAGCACUUCUGUCGCUAUCACUAUGACUUUUAUAAUUAUAAAAUU